RNAcentral lists this ribosomal RNA (301 nucleotides) under uncultured bacterium. RNAcentral's name for it is "partial 16S ribosomal RNA". It matches the Rfam family "Bacterial small subunit ribosomal RNA", at positions 509 to 807 of the family's 1533-position model. The record is from RNAcentral.
CAGUAGCCACGGGAAUACAGAGGGUGCGAGCGUUAAUCGGAUUUACUGGGCGUAAAGCGUGCGUAGGCGGCUAAUUGAGUCGGAUGUGAAAUCCCCGAGCUUAACUUGGGAAUUGCAUUCGAUACUGGUUAGCUAGAGUGUGGGAGAGGAUGGUAGAAUUCCAGGUGUAGCGGUGAAAUGCGUAGAGAUCUGGAGGAAUACCGAUGGCGAAGGCAGCCAUCUGGCCUAACACUGACGCUGAGGUACGAAAGCAUGGGGAGCAAACAGGAUUAGAUACCCGCGUAGUCCCUGUCUCUUAUAC